UGAGCCCCUCCGGUCGUCAAGCCUUGCUUGAAAUGCGUAAAUGCGGAAAGGUGAAGUGGCUGACCCGGCUCACACCACUUUAAGUAGCGGAGUGGGGUUCCUAGCCAGGCCUAUGGGACUCCCACUGGAGCCUUUCCCCCUCUGGGGCUGGGGCUGGACCCACAGGCUGCCGGAGCAGGCAGAAGGGGAGGGGCCCAAGGCCCAGACUCCAGGGCCUCGUCUGGAUCAUCAACCCGGCUUUGCCCAUUCAGCGCAGGCCUCCGUUUCCAGGCCUGUCUCCCCAUCCACACCGUCUCUCAGGGGUCGUGCAACCAACAGCACCCUCCACCUGCAGAAAUCGUCACCUGGCAAAACGGAAACUCUACCCACUAUGCACUAACUCCUCUUUCCCUCUCCUCCGGGCCCUGGCAACCGCCAUUCUACCUUUCGUCUCUGUGGUCUUGACUAUUCUAUGUACUGCAAAUAAAUAGAGUCACACAGCGUUUA
This is a long non-coding RNA of Homo sapiens (human), 486 nucleotides long. Ensembl annotates it as long intergenic non-protein coding RNA 677. Lineage: Eukaryota; Metazoa; Chordata; Mammalia; Primates; Hominidae. The record is from Ensembl.